RNAcentral lists this transfer RNA (69 nucleotides) under Sphyraena japonica (Japanese barracuda). RNAcentral describes it as "tRNA-Phe". It matches the Rfam family "tRNA". Rfam says of the family: Transfer RNA (tRNA) molecules are approximately 80 nucleotides in length. The record is from RNAcentral. Lineage: Eukaryota; Metazoa; Chordata; Actinopteri; Sphyraenidae.
GCAGGCGUAGCUUAAGUUAAAGCGUGACACUGAAGAUGUUAGGAUGGCCCCUAAAAAGGCUCGCAAGCA